This is a small nucleolar RNA of Thalassophryne amazonica, 82 nucleotides long. RefSeq annotates it as small nucleolar RNA SNORD111. Lineage: Eukaryota; Metazoa; Chordata; Actinopteri; Batrachoidiformes; Batrachoididae. The transcript has a single exon. The record is from RefSeq and is a predicted model, not a curated record.
UGCUGUGGAAGUGAUGAGUUUUUCAUGUCUCUUCUCUGAUUAAACAUCAGUGGAGACAAUUUUGAUAACUCUGAUCUCGGCA